AACACCAUCCCCAAAAACCCUAGCUCUCACUCAUACGUUUUGGAAAUCGCCUCCACAAUUCUAAGAUGGAUGAGCAUGUCGAUGAUACGCAUAAAGAUCAACAGGAGACUCACCAUCCCCAAAAAGAGCAAAAACCCUAGCUCUCACUUAUCCACCGACAUAAUACAGAGAGUGGAAGCGGUGUUGGGCCAAAAAGAAGGAGCGCCAUCCGCGCUUAUCUCAAAAUGGUGCAAGGUCGACGCUAUCUGUCCUCGAACGUCGAGUUUAGGGAUAAUCAUGCUUUGACGGCUAAUUCAAUGUUCCUGAAAAAUGAUCUGAGGGUGGAGAGGAGAGUUUUAAAUUGUGGAGUCAAAAAAUCAGCCAGCUUCUGUAUUAGGGCCGCGAUGAUUUUAGGAGCACGGGACGUUUCGAUUUUCAUGGGGCCUAACGGCACACACAAGUUUGCAGUUCUGCAUGGGUCGCCUGGGCUCUUGACCCUCUGCGUUGUUGGUUGCGCAAUGGAUUUUCGUGCUGAGCUAACCUAAAGAGGAGCCCCAUGAGCAGGACACGAUGUCUGGUAGAGUAUUGUUUCAAUGCAAAAACAAUUUAAAGUCUUUGGCCUUCAUAAACAAUCUAGAAAGAGGUAAUCAACUUACUUUCAUAGAAAGUAUGAGAUGGGAUCAAAACCAAUCAGCAUUAAUGGAUAUUGAUCAUCUCACCAUGUAUUCCCACCUUAUAGGCUUCAAAGGUGUAGAAUUUGUGUUAAUCGCUUCAUAGGACGUAAAAAGCACAUCAAAUUUUAUUCUAUCGUGUUUACAAAUUGACUGACCACUUCUCUUUUUUAUGUGAGACGACCAAAAUGCAAGAGAUGUACGCUGAAAAAAAAACAUGAUAUUCAGGCACCAACUCCUGUCAUUCAUCCAAUAAAACAAGAGAAAACCAGAGUGAGAAGCUGUCAAUGAUGGAGCAAUUGGGGAGAAGACAUGGUGUAAAGCCAUUAAUUGGAAAGGAACCAAGAACAUGGGAGGUUAGACAAAAAACCUACCAUACGCAAUGGAGGUGGGACCGUCCUUUUCAUUUUACUAAAUAAUGUUUCAUCAUAACUUGAUUAGAUCCGAGCUCGGAUGCAUCACUGUCACUGACAGUGCUUUGGUGCAUCUCAGAGUCGAGUAUCUUAUCAAGUUCAUUCGGAUGGCCCGCCCACCAUGAUGAGACAGUUCAAAAGCGAGCUUCUUGUAUAUGAGUGUUACAUAAACAAUGAACUCUCAAAAUGAAAAACGUUGAGCUGAGCAUGGGAAAGAAAUCCAAACCUCUAAUUCCCGCAGUCGCGGCGCCAUAGACCGAACUUCCGGAUGAUUUGUUGAUGUAUAUCAUGCAAAGGUUGCACAAUUAGGAUUGCAUUCAAUAGUAAUAGUACGUAUGUAGACAAGAUUGACGACAUAAUAAUUUGCAUUGGCUGAAAUUACAAUUAGUGGAAAA
Long non-coding RNA from Salvia splendens (bonfire salvia), 1458 nucleotides. RefSeq lists it as uncharacterized. The transcript is spliced from 2 exons. The record is from RefSeq and is a predicted model, not a curated record. Lineage: Eukaryota; Viridiplantae; Streptophyta; Magnoliopsida; Lamiales; Lamiaceae.